Molecule: ribosomal RNA, 111 nt
Organism: Tannerella forsythia 92A2
Lineage: Bacteria; Pseudomonadati; Bacteroidota; Bacteroidia; Bacteroidales; Tannerellaceae
Source: Rfam
UAAGGUGGUUAUAGUACGAGGGAUCCACCUCUUCCCAUUCCGAACAGAGAAGUUAAGCCUCGUCACGCCGAUGGUACUGCUAUAUUGUGGGAGAGUAGGUAGCCGCCGUUU